Molecule: ribosomal RNA, 496 nt
Filed under: uncultured bacterium
Lineage: Bacteria
Description: partial 16S ribosomal RNA
Rfam family: Bacterial small subunit ribosomal RNA
Source: RNAcentral
AUUGAACGCUGGCGGCGUGCCUAACACAUGCAAGUCGCACGCGAAAGGGGGCAACCCCAAGUAGAGUGGCGGACGGGUGAGUAACGCGUAGGAAUCUACCUAGUAGUGGGGGACAACCCGGCGAAAGCCGGGCUAAUACCGCAUACGACCUAAGGGUGAAAGCAGGGGAUCGCAAGACCUUGCGCUAUUAGAUGAGCCUGCGUCCGAUUAGCUAGUUGGUGAGGUAACGGCUCACCAAGGCGACGAUCGGUAACUGGUUUGAGAGAACGACCAGUCACAUUGGGACUGAGACACGGACCAAACUCCUACGGGAGGCAGCAGUGGGGAAUAUUGGACAAUGGGGGCAACCCUGAUCCAGCGACGCCGCGUGUGUGAAGAAGGCCUUCGGGUUGUAAAGCACUUUCGGCAGGGACAAACAAGACGGAGCUAACAUCUCCGUUCCUGAUGGUACCUGAAGAAGAAGCACCGGCUAACUCUGUGCCAGCCGCCGCCGUAA